UCCCUAGUGGCUCAGAUGGUAAAGCGCCUGUCUGCAAUGCAGGAGACUCGGGAUCCAUCCCUGGGUUGGGAA
Molecule: transfer RNA, 72 nt
Filed under: Bos taurus (domestic cattle)
Lineage: Eukaryota; Metazoa; Chordata; Mammalia; Artiodactyla; Bovidae
Also listed under: 4 other names
Rfam family: tRNA
About the family: Transfer RNA (tRNA) molecules are approximately 80 nucleotides in length.
Source: Rfam by way of RNAcentral